CCUACGGGUGGCAGCAGUAGGGAAUAUUGCUCAAUGGGGGAAACCCUGAAGCAGCAACGCCGCGUGGAGGAUGAAGGUUUUCGGAGUGGUAAAUCCUUUUUGUAGAGGAGAUAAUGACGGUAUCUAACGAAUAAGCACCGUCUAACUCGGAGCCAGCAGCCGCUGUAAUACGGGGGGUGCAAGGGUUACUCGGAAUUACCGGGCGCAAAGAGAGCGUAUGCGGGAUAGCAGGUGAGAUGUGAAUUCCUAUGGCUUAACCAUAGAACUGUAUUUGAAACUGUUAUUCUAGAGUAUGGGAGAGGUAGGUGGAAUUCUUGGUGUAGGGGUAAAAUCCGUAGAGAUCAAGAGGAAUACUCAUUGCGAAGGCGCCCUGCUAGAACAUAACUGACGCUGAUGCGCGAAAGCGUGGGGAGCAAACAGGAUUAGAUACCCGGGUAGUC
RNAcentral lists this ribosomal RNA (440 nucleotides) under uncultured bacterium. RNAcentral's name for it is "partial 16S ribosomal RNA". It matches the Rfam family "Bacterial small subunit ribosomal RNA", at positions 338 to 795 of the family's 1533-position model. The record is from RNAcentral.